RNAcentral lists this ribosomal RNA (493 nucleotides) under uncultured bacterium. RNAcentral's name for it is "partial 16S ribosomal RNA". It matches the Rfam family "Bacterial small subunit ribosomal RNA", at positions 30 to 523 of the family's 1533-position model. The record is from RNAcentral.
AUUGAACGCUGGCGGCAUGCUUUACACAUGCAAGUCGAACGGUAACAGGUUAAGCUGACGAGUGGCGAACGGGUGAGUAAUGCAUCGGAACGUGCCCGGUCGUGGGGGAUAACGCAGCGAAAGUUGCGCUAAUACCGCAUACGAUCUGAGGAUGAAAGCGGGGGACCGUAAGGCCUCGCGCGAUCGGAGCGGCCGAUGUCAGAUUAGGUAGUUGGUGGGGUAAAGGCUCACCAAGCCAACGAUCUGUAGCUGGUCUGUGAGGACGACCAGCCACACUGGGACUGGGACAGGGCCCAGACUCCUACGGGAGGCAGCAGUGGGGAAUUUUGGACAAUGGGCGAAAGCCUGAUCCAGCAAUGCCGCGUGCAGGAAGAAGGCCUUCGGGUUGUAAACUGCUUUUGUACGGAGCGAAAAGGUCUCCUCUAAUACAGGGGGCUCAUGACGGUACCGUAAGAAUAAGCACCGGCUAACUACGUGCCAGCCGCCGCAGUAA